UCUAUUUGGUGAUGUGAUAAUAGUUGAAGU
This 30-nucleotide non-coding RNA is filed under the name Rattus norvegicus (Norway rat). The record is from RNAcentral. Lineage: Eukaryota; Metazoa; Chordata; Mammalia; Rodentia; Muridae.